CAAAUCAGGUAGGACUACCCGCUGAACUUAAGCAUAUCAAUAAGCGGAGGAAAAGAAACUAACAAGGAUUCCCCUAGUAACUGCGAGUGAAGCGGGAAAAGCUCAAAUUUAAAAUCUGGCGGUCUUUUGGCUGUCCGAGUUGUAAUCUAGAGAAGUGUUAUCCGCGCUGGACC
This 173-nucleotide ribosomal RNA is filed under the name Cortinarius caesioarmeniacus. RNAcentral's name for it is "partial 28S ribosomal RNA". It matches the Rfam family "Eukaryotic large subunit ribosomal RNA", at positions 1 to 176 of the family's 3401-position model. Lineage: Eukaryota; Fungi; Basidiomycota; Agaricomycetes; Agaricales; Cortinariaceae. The record is from RNAcentral.